AUUGAACGCUGGCGGCAUGCCUUACACAUGCAAGUCGAACGGUAACAGGUCUUCGGAUGCUGACGAGUGGCGAACGGGUGAGUAAUACAUCGGAACGUGCCUAGUAGUGGGGGAUAACUACUCGAAAGAGUGGCUAAUACCGCAUGAGAUCUACGGAUGAAAGCAGGGGAUCGCAAGACCUUGGGCAACUAGAGCGGCCGAUGGCAGAUUAGGUAGUUGGUGGGAUAAAAGCUUACCAAGCCGACGAUCUGUAGCUGGUCUGAGAGGACGAUCAGCCACACUGGGACUGAGAAACGGCCCAGACUCCUACGGGAGGCAGCAGUGGGGAAUUUUGGACAAUGGGCGCAAGCCUGAUCCAGCAAUGCCGCGUGCAGGAUGAAGGCCUUCGGGUUGUAAACUGCUUUUGUACGGAACGAAAAGCCCCGGGUUAAUACCCUGGGGUCAUGACGGUACCGUAAGAAUAAGCACCGGCUAACUACGUGCCAGCAGCCGCAGUAA
This 498-nucleotide ribosomal RNA is filed under the name uncultured bacterium. Its description in RNAcentral is "partial 16S ribosomal RNA". It matches the Rfam family "Bacterial small subunit ribosomal RNA", at positions 30 to 523 of the family's 1533-position model. The record is from RNAcentral.